This 728-nucleotide long non-coding RNA is filed under the name Mytilus galloprovincialis (Mediterranean mussel). Lineage: Eukaryota; Metazoa; Mollusca; Bivalvia; Mytilida; Mytilidae. The record is from RNAcentral.
CGGGACUACGCAUGGUGACAUCACAUAUCUAGUCCCCUAAGGCUAUAUACAGUAUUUACAAUAAAAUCAGGUUGUUACGGUUAAAAUUAUGUACAAUCGUCCAGUCUGGUAUUAAUGUGUUGUCUGUAGCCCUGAGCGAAAAUCUUCAACUGAUCCCGCUUCAGCAACCCUGGCAGGUAAUGUAUUCCAUUCCAUGAUUGUUCUUGGAAAGAAGGAGUUCCUGUAGACAUCACUGGUGACCCUCUGUUGGUAAAACUUGUGUCCUCCACGAGUUCUACUGUCGCCACCUUUGAGGUAAGUACUCUUGUUGAUAUCUAUCAGCUCAUUCUGGAUACGAUAGAGCAUGCAUAGCCUGUUGUCACGGCGUCUUGUCUGUAAUGUGUCCCAUUUAAGAUCUUCUAACAUUGUAGUGACGCACCCUGGUGUGCGUGAUGUGUAGUCAUUAUAGACAAAUCUAGCAGCUCUCCUCUGUAUAAGUUCUAGUGUGUUGAUGCUUGCUUGGUUGGUUGGGUCCCAUAUAGUAGAAGCAUACUCUAUGACAGGUCGCACGAGUGUUGUAUAGCCAGCAGCCUUUACUUUCCUGGUACAUUCUUUAAGGUUUCGUUUGACAAACCCAAGUGUUCGGUUACCCUUUGCUGUAACACUCUGGAUAUGUUUGUUCCAUGAGAGGUUGUUUGAUAUUGAAACUCCCAAGUACUUGGCACUAUCUACUGGUUCGAGUAUGUGUC